Molecule: ribosomal RNA, 433 nt
Filed under: uncultured bacterium
Lineage: Bacteria
Description: partial 16S ribosomal RNA
Rfam family: Bacterial small subunit ribosomal RNA
Source: RNAcentral
AACGAACGCUGGCGGCAUGCCUAACACAUGCAAGUCGAACGAGACCUUCGGGUCUAGUUGCCCACGGGUGCGUAACGCGUGGGAAUCUUCCCUUGGGUUCGGAAUAACAGUUGGAAACGACCGCUAAUACCGGAUGAUGACGUAAAUCCAAAGAUUGAUCCCGCAGGGGUGAGCGCGCGUAGGUUUAGCUCGUGGGUGUGGUAAAGGUCUACCCAGGCGGAGAUCCUUAGCUGGUGUGAGAGGAUGCACAGACACACUGAGACUGAGACACGGCCCAGACUCCUGCGGGAGGGAGGAGUGGGGAAUAUUGGACAAUGGGAGAGACUCUGAUCCCGCUACGGCGCGUGAGUAAUGAAGGCCUGAGGGUUGUAAAGCUCUUUUACGCGGGAUGGUAAUGACGGUACCUGGAGAAUAAGCCCCGGCUAACUCCGUG